This 401-nucleotide unclassified non-coding RNA is filed under the name soil metagenome. RNAcentral's name for it is "partial contains 5.8S ribosomal RNA, internal transcribed spacer 2, and large subunit ribosomal RNA". The stretch from base 1 to 121 matches the Rfam family "5.8S ribosomal RNA", at positions 35 to 154 of the family's 154-position model. The record is from RNAcentral.
GAUGAAGAACGUAGCGAAAUGCGAUAAGUAAUGUGAAUUGCAGAAUUCAGUGAAUCAUCGAAUCUUUGAACGCACCUUGCGCCCUUUGGCUAUUCUGAAGGGCAUGCCUGUUUGAGUAUCGUGAACACCUCAACUCUCAUGGUCUGCCAUGAUGAGCUUGGACUUUGGGGGUCUUGCUGGCCUACUGUCAGCUCCUCUCAAAUGAAUCAGCUUACCAGUGUUUGGUGGCACCACAGGUGUGAUAACUAUCUACGCUUGUGGUUUUCUGCCAGGUAACCUCCAGUGAUGGAGGUUCGCUGGAGCUCACAAAUGUCUCUCCACAGCGAGGACAGCUUUUUGAACGUUUGAUCUCAAAUCAGGUAGGACUACCCGCUGAACUUAAGCAUAUCAAUAAGCGGGGA